AAAGAUAUAGCAUAUUCUUCUGAACAUACUUUAUUAACCCAUGUCCGAGUACCUUACACCGUUGCCUUCCGCGAGGCUGUCCUCUACGGCCCUCUGAAGAUUUUAUCUUUGGGGAGUCCUUGCGGAAGGUAUACAAUAUAACUCUUGGCAUUACCAUGUCAUCUGUCUGAAUCUGUUUAAACAACAAAUAUUA
This 193-nucleotide unclassified non-coding RNA is filed under the name soil metagenome. RNAcentral describes it as "partial internal transcribed spacer 1". The record is from RNAcentral.